GAUGUACUUCCUCCGUUCCAAAGUUUUUGUCUUAGUUUUGUUUAAAAAUAAAUGUAUCAAAAUGCUAAAACAUUACUAGAUACAUUCAUAUCUAGAUAAAUCUAAGACAAUAAUUUUAAGACGGAGGGAGUAUAUG
Molecule: non-coding RNA, 136 nt
Organism: Hordeum vulgare subsp. vulgare (domesticated barley)
Lineage: Eukaryota; Viridiplantae; Streptophyta; Magnoliopsida; Poales; Poaceae
Source: Rfam